UCAUCGAACGCCUCAACGCCAUGAUCGUUCAAGAGUCGACGACACCAUCAUGCUUCAACUAUUUCAA
Molecule: transfer RNA, 67 nt
Filed under: Thalassiosira gravida
Lineage: Eukaryota; Bacillariophyta; Thalassiosirophyceae; Thalassiosirales; Thalassiosiraceae
Source: RNAcentral